This 513-nucleotide ribosomal RNA is filed under the name uncultured bacterium. RNAcentral's name for it is "partial 16S ribosomal RNA". It matches the Rfam family "Bacterial small subunit ribosomal RNA", at positions 28 to 523 of the family's 1533-position model. The record is from RNAcentral.
GAUGAACGCUGGCGGCGUGCCUAAUACAUGCAAGUCGAGCGAACAGAUAAGGAGCUUGCUCCUUUGACGUUAGCGGCGGACGGGAGAGUAACACGUGGAUAACCUACCUAUAAGACUGGGAUAACUUCGGGAAACCGGAGCUAAUACCGGAUAACAUAUUGAACCGCAUGGUUCAAUAGUGAAAGGCGGCUUUGCUGUCACUAAUAGAUGGAUCCGCGCCGUAUUAGCUAGUUGGUAAGAUAACGGCUUACCAAGGCAACGAUACGUAGCCGACCUGAGAGGGUGAUCGGCCACACUGGAACUGAGGCACGGUCCAGACUCCUACGGGAGGCAGCAGUAGGGAAUCUUCCGCAAUGGGCGAAAGCCUGACGGAGCAACGCCGCGUGAGUGAUGAAGGUCUUCGGAUCGUAAAACUCUGUUAUCAGGGAAGAACAAAUGUGUAAGUAACUGUGCACAUCUUGACGGUACCUGAUCAGAAAGCCACGGCUAACUACGUGCCAGCAGCCGCCGUAA